Molecule: transfer RNA, 92 nt
Filed under: Eubacteriales bacterium
Lineage: Bacteria; Bacillati; Bacillota; Clostridia; Eubacteriales
Description: tRNA-Ser
Rfam family: tRNA
About the family: Transfer RNA (tRNA) molecules are approximately 80 nucleotides in length. Their secondary structure includes four short double-helical elements and three loops (D, anti-codon, and T loops).
Source: RNAcentral
GGAGAUGUCGCGUAGUUGGUCGAGCGCGCACGAUUGGAAAUCGUGUAUGGGUCAAAAGCUCAUCAAGAGUUCGAAUCUCUUCAUCUCCGCCA